Molecule: long non-coding RNA, 1262 nt
Organism: Cottoperca gobio
Lineage: Eukaryota; Metazoa; Chordata; Actinopteri; Perciformes; Bovichtidae
Exons: 3
Source: RefSeq, a predicted model, not a curated record
AUUUAUUUUGUACAUCCUCCUUGCAUACAAGCUUCCAGACAUCAAACACUUGAGACCUUUCUCCAGACAUCAAAGUCUCCUGUCCGGUCCUUGGAGAGGUCUGCGGAUCCUAACGUCACACGUAUAAAGACAGCUACAGGCGAUGUAACCCAAGACACUCGGGCUCCGUCUGGUUCUCUCUCUGAUUUCCAACUGUUCAAGGGAUUUGUUUGAGUGUCAGGCUAUAGACGGGGCUACUUUUGGACAGCUACCAGCCUUUGUGAGAGUGAUGUUCCAGCCCAACCAUUACAGCUAGGGAAAGCACUGCUCUACAUCCACACUUUUGUCCCUACCCCCACAUCUAAUGCUUUUUGCAGCUGCACAAGAGUGGAGGUGUUUCCACGAUCAAAUUGCACAAAUUGAGAAGGAAGCAAAAAGCAUGGCCCCUUAAGGACAAAGAAGGAAUUUGAAGUCUGCUAGAAAGGAUGCAUUAAAAGUAGGACAGAUGGCUGAAACGAUGAUUAGUGGAUAAAGGGAUUUCUAAAUCCUCUUACCUUUGCAAACAUCUAAUUGAAGUAGUAUCCACGCUCUCUGUGUGAGUACAGCUCUGGGUGAUUUCCUUUCUCGGUUUGGCAGAGCUUUUCAGACCGCUGCAUACGGAGUCAAAGUAUAUGUUCUGAUCCCACUGUUGGAGCACUUGCUCUGCUAAUGUACUUUCAGCAGUUAUGAUAAACUGACUGAGAGCAGGUGAGAUGAGUUAUAAGUAGGGCCUGCGAGCUGUAUGCAUAUAACUUAAAUAUAUCCAAUUUGGUGCUUUUUCUGUAAGCAGUGUGUGGUGUACCUGUAGUCACAGCAUGCACUUAUAUCUACACAUAAAGUAGUAUUACACGGCACACAUACAGUACAAUGCAGAUUUAAAAUGGUUAUGUGUCCCCUCGGUGUGUGAUUCACAUUAAAUACAUCUCAAAAACAGCAUAAGCAUGUUCCUCACCAUCAAAGUACAAGCAGACGUCAUGUUAGGUCCUCACCGUGCAGUGAUCACAGCUUGGCAGACGAGCAGAGCAACGAAACAAACACACAUGAAAAGAAUGAUUAGACUGGUGGGUGACUCACUUGAUAUUUCUGUAAUUAGCAUUCAUGGAUCUUUCUUUAUCUUUCCUUCACAACACCAUCUGGUCUGCACAGGAGUAAAAACUAAAACUGUCUCACGGUUUAAUCAAUUACCAGUGAUAAACAAUAUUUCAUUUUCUGGGCUGAAAUUAGUUUAAUUUUGAAGAAUUCAU